RNAcentral lists this ribosomal RNA (496 nucleotides) under uncultured Bacteroidota bacterium. RNAcentral's name for it is "bacterial SSU rRNA". It matches the Rfam family "Bacterial small subunit ribosomal RNA", at positions 355 to 851 of the family's 1533-position model. The record is from RNAcentral. Lineage: Bacteria; Pseudomonadati; Bacteroidota.
UAAGGAAUAUUGGUCAAUGGACGCAAGUCUGAACCAGCCAUGCCGCGUGGAGGAUGAAGGCCCUCUGGGUUGUAAACUUCUUUUCUUUGGGACGAAACCCCUAUUUCUAUGGGGACUGACGGUACCAGAGGAAUAAGCACCGGCUAACUCCGUGCCAGCAGCCGCGGUAAUACGGAGGGUGCAAGCGUUAUCCGGAUUCACUGGGUUUAAAGGGAGCGUAGGUGGGCUUGUAAGUCAGUGGUGAAAUCUCUGGGCUUAACCCGGAAACUGCCAUUGAUACUAUAGGUCUUGAAUUCUCUGGAGGUAAGCGGAAUAUGUCAUGUAGCGGUGAAAUGCUUAGAUAUGACAUAGAACACCCAUUGCGAAGGCAGCUUACUACGGAGACAUUGACACUGAGGCUCGAAAGCGUGGGGAUCAAACAGGAUUAGAUACCCUGGUAGUCCACGCCCUAAACGAUGAUUACUCGACAUUAGCGAUAUUACUGUUAGUGUCUAAG